CAAUAGCGUAUAUUAAUGUUGUUGCAGUUAAAAAGCUCGUAGUUGGAUUUCUGGUGGGAGCGGCCGGUCCGCCGUAAGGUGUGUACUUGGUUGUCUCCUGUCAUCCUUGUGGGAACUGCUCUGGCAUUAAGUUGUCGGGGUUAGGGAACACAUCGUUUACUGUGAAAAAAUUAGAGUGUUUAAAGCAGGCUUAUGCCGUUGAAUACAUUAGCAUGGAAUAAUGAGAUAGGACUUUGGCGUCUAUUUUGUUGGUUUGCACACCAAGGUAAUGAUUAAUAGGGAUAGUUGGGGGUAUUCGUAUUUAAUUGUCAGAGGUGAAAUUCUUGGAUUUAUGAAAGACGAACUUCUGCGAAAGCAUUUACCAAAGAUGUUUUCAUUAA
Molecule: ribosomal RNA, 380 nt
Filed under: uncultured eukaryote
Lineage: Eukaryota
Description: partial 18S ribosomal RNA
Rfam family: Eukaryotic small subunit ribosomal RNA
Source: RNAcentral